Molecule: long non-coding RNA, 1541 nt
Organism: Rhea pennata
Lineage: Eukaryota; Metazoa; Chordata; Aves; Rheiformes; Rheidae
Exons: 2
Source: RefSeq, a predicted model, not a curated record
UUAUCGCUGCCUUUCAACACCCAGAAGUGUGGACCAAGUGCAGUCUUGGACUCUUUAAGGACUUGGAUAUCUCGCUGCUGAUUAUUGAUUGGUUCUGACGUUGUUCAUCCUCCUGGGCGGCGGCGAGAACAACGAGAAACUGGCAAUGGACUAAUUUCCACAGACAGCUCAAGUAUUGUUCCUUCCCUUCCCCACACCACGCCAGACAUGGCUGCCAGCCCAAUCUCGCCGCACACAGCCUCCGCAAGGCUUCAGCUGCACCGAACAGCCCCUGAAAGUCCCAGCUCCCGCCACGUGCCGUGAGAGAUGGUGCCAGCUUCAGCUGUAUUGCGUGACGCAGCUGGGAAGUGCAGCCAAGCUCCAUUGCCUUCCUGCUUUCUGCUUGCUGCCCACCUACCUCGUGGCAAAGGAAGCCAUAUUUUUGCAGGGAGUUUGUGGCAAACCGGAAGGCAGGUAGCUCAUUGAGGUGAUUCCUGGAGCAAGGUGCCACAUUGCCCGUUCCACGCAGGCAUGCAGACCUUCACCUCACUGAACUGCAGUUGCGGAAGUGGCUCUCCACUAUGGCCCGGAGAUGAUAAACGGCUUCGUUUCCUCGGUGGCGCGCUGCUCCGCACUGAGAGCCUUGCUCCCGGUGCUGCCCUUUGCAGUGCUGCCAGCCCCACAGCUGCGGAGGCUUUGCAGAGGGACGACCACUCCAGUGACAGGACAACCAUGUCAUCAGGGGUUUGGUCCUCACCAGCCCAGAGCCUUGCAACAAAGGACUGUUAGCAUAAAGUAAACACGUUUGCUGUGCUUAGGAUAAACUUUGACCUGUAAUUUCCUCUCUGAUCUGCAGGUAGGCUCUCCUGCAAGUAGGCUGCAUCUCACCUAAACAUUAAGCUACUAAAAGAUCAUGGCCUGCAGUACUGAGCUGGUUACUGAGGCUUCCUCCGUAACCAUGUGGAGGACGAUUCACCCCAUCAAAGUGGAUUACUUUUCUCAGAAAGUGCCUUACUUGCCACUGGCUAUAGAGGGAACCUAGACAGGCACUAAACUAAACAUCUAAUUUCCAGAUGGCUAAAAUGAGAUGAUAUGAAUCCUGCCUUUCAUGGGUUGUUGUACCAGCUGAAGCCUAAACUGUGUGCACAAAGGUUUUCCUUACAUUGUAGCCUAAGACAUUCAAUGCUACUUCUGUUUUCUAUUUUGAAGCUGUUGUAUGACUUUCCUUUUCCUGUCUCUCUCUUUCUGUUAGUGGAACUGGUAAAUAAUUUGCAGCAAAUCACAUACUUCAGUGAAAUAGAUGUUUUGGAAAAAUGAUCUGCUGGUACCUUCUGACUUUUCUCAAAAGCAUAUGACUUUUAAAGUUCAGUGACCACAUCAUUUGCAGGCAGUGGGGUGAAGAUAUUCAAUAUUUUAAAUUCAAACAGUGUUUGAUAGUCUGGUUUGGAUACUUUGACCACAGAGUAUUUUUCACGUUCUGUGACAAAGUGAAUAGAGGUUAUUUGCAGUAACUCAUUUUGCUCUGCUCAGCACUGGAUUAAAAGCAUGGCCACAGCCUGUUA